RNAcentral lists this ribosomal RNA (463 nucleotides) under uncultured bacterium. Its description in RNAcentral is "partial 16S ribosomal RNA". It matches the Rfam family "Bacterial small subunit ribosomal RNA", at positions 28 to 507 of the family's 1533-position model. The record is from RNAcentral.
GACGAACGCUGGCGGCGUGCUUAACACAUGCAAGUCGAACGGUGAACCUCUUCGGAGGGGAUCAGUGGCGCACGGGUGAGUAACACGUGGGCAACCUGCCCCCGGCUCUGGGAUAACUCCAAGAAAUUGGGGCUAAUACCGGAUGUUCACCGCUUCCCGCAUGGGUGGUGGUGGAAAGGGUUUCCGGCUGGGGAUGGGCCCGCGGCCUAUCAGCUUGUUGGUGGGGUAGUGGCCUACCAAGGCGACGACGGGUAGCCGGCCUGAGAGGGUGACCGGUCACACUGGGACUGAGACACGGCCCAGACUCCUACGGGAGGCAGCAGUGGGGAAUAUUGCGCAAUGGGCGGAAGCCUGACGCAGCGACGCCGCGUGGGGGAUGACGGCCUUCGGGUUGUAAACCUCUUUCAGCAGGGACGAAGCGCAAGUGACGGUACCUGCAGAAGAAGCACCGGCCAACUACGUG